Salvelinus namaycush (lake trout) is the source of this 287-nucleotide long non-coding RNA. RefSeq lists it as uncharacterized. The record is from RefSeq and is a predicted model, not a curated record. The transcript has 3 exons. Lineage: Eukaryota; Metazoa; Chordata; Actinopteri; Salmoniformes; Salmonidae.
CUGGUACAAGAAGAACAUAGCCUCACCAAAAGCAUCAGGACAGAGUUACAGCAUCACUAACAUCAGCUCUGAGGACAGAGGAGAAUAUUACUGUGAGGCCCAGAAUGGAAGAGGAUCUAUGAACUCUACAGCUCUGAUGAUCAUUGUAGCAGGGAAACAAACCUCAGUUGUGACUGCAGCUGUAGGAAUCAUAGUGGUUGUUCUGGUUCUCAUCCUCUGUCUCUCUGGACUCAUGUGGUUCAGGAGAUCCACAGGAGGAAGUGAUGCCACAGCAGACACACAGGUGA